RNAcentral lists this ribosomal RNA (481 nucleotides) under uncultured bacterium. RNAcentral's name for it is "partial 16S ribosomal RNA". It matches the Rfam family "Bacterial small subunit ribosomal RNA", at positions 28 to 507 of the family's 1533-position model. The record is from RNAcentral.
GACGAACGUUGGCGGCGUGCUUAAUACAUGCCAGUCAACUGAAGCAGUGGUAGCAAUAUCGCUGUGGAGGUGGCGCACGGGUGAGUAACACGUAGGUAAUCUGCCUUCAGGUCUGGCAUAACUCCGGGAAACCGGGGCUAAUAGCAGAUGAUGCAGCGGCUCGACAUCGAGACAGUUGUUAAAGCUAUGGCGCCUGAAGAUGAGCCUGCGCCUGCUUAGCUAGUUGGCGGGGUAACGGCCCACCAAGGCAACGAUCAGUAGCUGGUCUGAGAGGAUGAUCAGCCACACUGGAACGGAGACACGGUCCAGACUCCUACGGGAGGCAGCAGUAAGGAAUAUUGCUCAAUGGGAGAAAUCCUGAAGCAGCAACGCCGCGUGAGGGACGAAGGGCUUUUGCUUGUAAACCUCUGUAGUGAGAGAAAAAAAUCCCAAUCUUUGGGACAUGAUGGUAUCUCAAAAGUAAGCCCCGGCUAACUACGUG